GCUUGCUGGGUGGAUUAGUGGCGAACGGGUGAGUAACACGUGAGUAACCUGCCCUUAACUCUGGGAUAAGCCUGGGAAACUGGGUCUAAUACCGGAUAGGAGCGUCCACCGCAUGGUGGGUGUUGGAAAGAUUUAUCGGUUUUGGAUGGACUCGCGGCCUAUCAGCUUGUUGGUGAGGUAAUGGCUCACCAAGGCGACGACGGGUAGCCGGCCUGAGAGGGUGACCGGCCACACUGGGACUGAGACACGGCCCAGACUCCUACGGGAGGCAGCAGUGGGGAAUAUUGCACAAUGGGCGCAAGCCUGAUGCAGCGACGCCGCGUGAGGGAUGACGGCCUUCGGGUUGUAAACCUCUUUCAGUAGGGAAGAAGCGAAAGUGACGGUACCUGCAGAAGAAGCACCGGCUAACUACGUGCCAGCAGCCGCGGUAAUACGUAGGGUGCGAGCGUUAUCCGGAAUUAUUGGGCGUAAAGAGCUCGUAGGCGGUUUGUCGCGUCUGUCGUGAAAGUC
Molecule: ribosomal RNA, 510 nt
Rfam family: Bacterial small subunit ribosomal RNA